GGGGGUGUAAAGGUUUCGACGGGGAAUGUAAACCCUGAUAAGCGAGCGGCGGUGCGGAACCGCCAUAAAAUCCGCAGCUUAAAAAUAACUGACAACAAUAAAGUUGCAUUAGCUGCUUAAAGCAGCUCGUUCCUGUGCGGAGCACCUCGGCCGCAUAAGGAGCGUCGAACAGAGGUAAAGGUGAACGCGGAAGCGCUCUGAGCCGCGUCAUCAUUUAGGAGCUACCAAACCGCCGAGCCUGUCCGUGGGCGCGGCGGCAAGGGAAUGACAGUACACUGACUGCGCUCGGAGAAAGUCUCGGCAAGCAUUUUUCGGACAGGGGUUCGACUCCCCUCACCUCCACCA
RNAcentral lists this transfer-messenger RNA (345 nucleotides) under Acutalibacteraceae. RNAcentral's name for it is "Ruminococcus_E sp900318495 Standard tmRNA". It matches the Rfam family "transfer-messenger RNA". Rfam says of the family: Bacterial tmRNA, also known as 10Sa RNA or SsrA, is named for its dual tRNA and mRNA-like properties. Its role is to liberate the mRNA from a stalled ribosome. RNAcentral also lists the same sequence under 1 other name. The record is from RNAcentral. Lineage: Bacteria; Bacillati; Bacillota; Clostridia; Eubacteriales.